CAGCAGCCGCGGUAAUACGAAGGGACCUAGCGUAGUUCGGAAUUACUGGGCUUAAAGAGUUCGUAGGUGGUUGAAAAAGUUAGUGGUGAAAUCCCAGAGCUUAACUCUGGAACUGCCAUUAAAACUUUUCAGCUAGAGUAUGAUAGAGGAAAGCAGAAUUUCUAGUGUAGAGGUGAAAUUCGUAGAUAUUAGAAAGAAUACCAAUUGCGAAGGCAGCUUUCUGGAUCAUUACUGACACUGAGGAACGAAAGCAUGGGUAGCGAAGAGGAUUAGAUACCCUCGUAGUCCAUGCCGUAAACGAUGUGUGUUAGACGUUGGAAAUUUAUUUUCAGUGUCGCAGGGAAACCGAUAAACACGCCGCCUGGGGAGUACGACCGCAAGGUUAAAACUCAAAUGAAUUGACGGGGACCCGCACAAGUAGUGGAGCAUGUGGUUUAAUUCGAAGAUACGCGCAGAACCUUACCAACACUUGACAUGUUCGUCGCGACUCUAAGAGAUUAGAGUUUUCGGUUCGGCCGGACGAAACACAGGUGCUGCAUGGCUGUCGUCAGCUCGUGUCGUGAGAUGUUGGGUUAAGUCCCGCAACGAGCGCAACCCUCACUUUUAGUUGCCAUCAUUAAGUUGGGCACUCUGAAAGAACUGCCAGUGAUAAGCUGGAGGAAGGUGGGGAUGACGUCAAGUCCUCAUGGCCCUUACGUGUUGGGCUACACACGUGCUACAAUGGUAUCUACAACAGGAAGCAAGACUGCGAAGUUAAGCAAAUCCCUAAAAGAUACCUCAGUUCGGAUUGCACUCUGCAACUCGAGUGCAUGAAGCUGGAAUUACUAGUAAUCGUGGAUCAGCGUGCCACGGUGAAUGCGUUCCCGGGUCUUGUACACACCGCCCGUCACACCAUGGGAGUUGGUUCUACCUUAAGGCAAGGUUUCAAACCCUUGACCACGGUAUAGUCAGCGACUGGGGUG
Molecule: ribosomal RNA, 962 nt
Filed under: uncultured bacterium
Lineage: Bacteria
Description: bacterial SSU rRNA
Rfam family: Bacterial small subunit ribosomal RNA
Source: RNAcentral